RNAcentral lists this ribosomal RNA (420 nucleotides) under uncultured bacterium. RNAcentral describes it as "bacterial SSU rRNA". It matches the Rfam family "Bacterial small subunit ribosomal RNA", at positions 356 to 773 of the family's 1533-position model. The record is from RNAcentral.
GAGGAAUAUUGGUCAAUGGACGAGAGUCUGAACCAGCCAAGUAGCGUGCAGGAAGACGGCCCUAUGGGUUGUAAACUGCUUUUAUAAGGGAAUAAAGUGAGUCUCGUGAGACUUUUUGCAUGUACCUUAUGAAUAAGGACCGGCUAAUUCCGUGCCAGCAGCCGCGGUAAUACGGAAGGUCCGGGCGUUAUCCGGAUUUAUUGGGUUUAAAGGGAGCGUAGGCCGGAGAUUAAGCGUGUUGUGAAAUGUAGACGCUCAACGUCUGCACUGCAGCGCGAACUGGUUUCCUUGAGUACGCACAAAGUGGGCGGAAUUCGUGGUGUAGCGGUGAAAUGCUUAGAUAUCACGAAGAACUCCGAUUGCGAAGGCAGCUCACUGGAGCGCAACUGACGCUGAAGCUCGAAAGUGCGGGUAUCGAAC